GUGCCAGCAGCUGCGGUUAUACUAAGUGAGUAGAUGGAAAUUAUAAGUAUAAGCAGUUAUGCCGGUAUCUAUCUUAGUCUUAUUAUUCGGUUAAGUAAGUAGUGAAAUUCGUAUCUUUUUGGGUUAAGUUUGUUUAAGAGAGUGGUGCAGAAUCUGCGAAGGUCUGGAGAUAAACCAGGAUUAGAUACCCUGUUAUACCAGUUUUAGAAUAUCUUGCUUGGGUAGUAAUCAGUUAAGAGCUUGAAAUCUAAAAAAUUUGGCGGUAUUUUAGUCUGUUUAGAGGAACCUGUUUUAUAAGCGAUAAACCACGUAGUAUCUUGCUUUAUCUAGUUUAGUUUGUAUACCGCCAUAAUUCGGCUUUGUUUUAAAAUAUAUUCCAUAAAAAGAGAGAGCUUAAAACAUUAGGUCAAGGUGCAGCUUAUGGUAAAGUAGUUAAUGGGUUACAAUAUAACUUAUAUAAUACGAAAAGUGGCUUGAAAGGGUUACUGGAAGGUGGAUUUAAUAGUAAUGUUGGCUUUAGUAAGAGAGCGUGAACUUGCUCUAAGAUAUGUACACAUCGCCCGUCGCUCUCAUUUUAUAAGGUGAGAUAAGUCGUAACAAAGUAGGAAAAA
Molecule: ribosomal RNA, 611 nt
Filed under: Philarius condi
Lineage: Eukaryota; Metazoa; Arthropoda; Malacostraca; Decapoda; Palaemonidae
Description: partial 12S ribosomal RNA
Rfam family: Microsporidia small subunit ribosomal RNA
Source: RNAcentral